Molecule: ribosomal RNA, 508 nt
Filed under: Beauveria bassiana
Lineage: Eukaryota; Fungi; Ascomycota; Sordariomycetes; Hypocreales; Cordycipitaceae
Description: eukaryotic LSU rRNA
Rfam family: 5.8S ribosomal RNA (bases 142-295)
Source: RNAcentral
CCCUUCUGUGACCUACCUAUCGUUGCUUCGGCGGACUCGCCCCAGCCCGGACGCGGACUGGACCAGCGGCCCGCCGGGGACCUCAAACUCUUGUAUUCCAGCAUCUUCUGAAUACGCCGCAAGGCAAAACAAAUGAAUCAAAACUUUCAACAACGGAUCUCUUGGCUCUGGCAUCGAUGAAGAACGCAGCGAAACGCGAUAAGUAAUGUGAAUUGCAGAAUCCAGUGAAUCAUCGAAUCUUUGAACGCACAUUGCGCCCGCCAGCAUUCUGGCGGGCAUGCCUGUUCGAGCGUCAUUUCAACCCUCGACCUCCCCUUGGGGAGGUCGGCGUUGGGGACCGGCAGCACACCGCCGGCCCUGAAAUGGAGUGGCGGCCCGUCCGCGGCGACCUCUGCGCAGUAAUACAGCUCGCACCGGGACCCCGACGCGGCCACGCCGUAAAACACCCAACUUCUGAACGUUGACCUCGAAUCAGGUAGGACUACCCGCUGAACUUAAGCAUAUCAAA